This 74-nucleotide transfer RNA is filed under the name Dethiosulfatibacter aminovorans DSM 17477. It matches the Rfam family "tRNA". From Rfam's summary of the family: Transfer RNA (tRNA) molecules are approximately 80 nucleotides in length. Their secondary structure includes four short double-helical elements and three loops (D, anti-codon, and T loops). The record is from Rfam by way of RNAcentral. Lineage: Bacteria; Bacillati; Bacillota; Tissierellia.
GUGGAUAUAGCUCAGCUGGUUAGAGCACCGGAUUGUGGUUCCGGGGGUCGUGGGUUCGAAUCCCAUUAUCCACC